CCCCUCAAUCUGGAACUGAGAAUCCCAUCUUUCGGAAAUGAUUUGUAUUGGUCACACUUUAACAUAAGGAAAAAGCCGAUAUUAAACUUUAAAGAGUAAAUUUUAUUAACACAGAAAAAUUAUUUUAAAUAUUUCAAAACACAAACAUUAGUAUUCGUUGGGGUGGGGGAGUCCAACAAAAAAAAUAUAGGAAUUACAUUUUUCCAACGGUUGAAGUACUAAAAUUUUAUCAUGAACUUGAGUAACCAAAUCACAGCAAGCAAUCCCUUUUAAAACUUCAACUUUCUUUUCAAAUUUUUACAAAUAUUAAAAUGCAAAACAAAAAUCACAUAACAAU
RNAcentral lists this long non-coding RNA (337 nucleotides) under Panax ginseng (ginseng). RNAcentral describes it as "long non-coding RNA (PGIN_LNC001436)". The record is from RNAcentral. Lineage: Eukaryota; Viridiplantae; Streptophyta; Magnoliopsida; Apiales; Araliaceae.